UCUCUCUCUUCAGAUAUGUAGUAACUGCAGUGAGGCAGGAGCAAGUGUUGGGUGUCUAGGAAAAGGGUGCUCUCUCCUGGUCCAUGUGCCGUGUGCCACCCAACUCCAGUGGACUUUGGAUCACAAUACCUUCAAAUCCCUCUGCCCCAAGCAUAGUAAGCUGACUUAGUAGUGCAGGAGGAAGCCUCAUGUAGGCAUAGUUUUACUGUCAAGAUACAAAACAUUUAUAAAUCUCAUUUUAUUUUCAAUUGUAAUAUAUUGUACAGAUAUUGUUUUGUAUUUUUGUCCAGUAUACAGUAAUAUGUAUGUUUUAUGCAGAAGACCAAGCAUUGCAAAAUUUUACCAGUCGUAAAUGUCAUUAUUAAAAAAUCUCUUGAUGAA
Long non-coding RNA from Penaeus indicus, 381 nucleotides. RefSeq lists it as uncharacterized. The record is from RefSeq and is a predicted model, not a curated record. The transcript has 2 exons. Lineage: Eukaryota; Metazoa; Arthropoda; Malacostraca; Decapoda; Penaeidae.